GUAAAAUUCCGUGGAGGUCCGAACCACGUUGGUGUUGAAAAACCAUGGGAUGAGCUGUGGAUAGCGGAGAAAUUCCAAUCGAACUCGGAGAUAGCGGGUUCUCCUCGAAAUAGCUUUAGGGCUAGCGUCGGGUAAUUGAGUAGUGGAGGUAGAGCACUGAAUGGGCUAGGGGCUGACAACAGUUACUGAACCCUAUCAAACUCCGAAUGCCAUAUACUUGUACCCCGGCAGUCAGACUACGAAUGAUAAGAUCCGUGGUCAAAAGGGAAACAGCCCAGACCAUCAGCUAAGGUCCCAAAGUGUAAGUUAAGUGGGAAAGGAUGUGGGAUUUCUAAGACAACUAGGAUGUUGGCUUAGAAGCAGCCACUCAUUUAAAGAGUGCGUAAUAGCUCACUAGUCGAGAGAUCCUGCGCCGAAGAUGUAACGGGGCUCAAACUUACCACCGAAGCUAUGGAUGUGUACUUUGUACACGUGGUAGAGGAGCUUUCUGUACAGGUUGAAGUCAUACCGUAAGGAGUGGUGGACAGUACAGAAGUGAGAAUGCUGGCAUAAGUAGCGAAAAACAAGUGAGAAUCUUGUUGACCGAAUAUCUAAGGUUUCCUGGGGAAGGCUCGUCCUCCCAGGGUUAGUCGGGACCUAAGCCGAGGCCGA
RNAcentral lists this ribosomal RNA (651 nucleotides) under Clostridium botulinum D/C. RNAcentral describes it as "partial 23S ribosomal RNA". It matches the Rfam family "Bacterial large subunit ribosomal RNA", at positions 756 to 1405 of the family's 2925-position model. Lineage: Bacteria; Bacillati; Bacillota; Clostridia; Eubacteriales; Clostridiaceae. The record is from RNAcentral.